GAUGAACGCUAGCGAUAGGCCUAACACAUGCAAGUCGAGGGGCAUCACAUGAAGUAGCAAUACGGAUGGUGGCGACCGGCGCACGGGUGAGUAACACGUAUGCAACCUGCCUUCAACAAGGGGAUAACCCGUUGAAAGACGGACUAAUACCCUAUAACACAGGGGUCCCGCAUGGGAAUAUUUGUUAAAGGACAACCGGUUGAAGAUGGGCAUGCGUUCCAUUAGCUAGUUGGCGGGGUAACGGCCCACCAAGGCAACGAUGGAUAGGGGAACUGAGAGGUUUAUCCCCCACACUGGUACUGAGACACGGACCAGACUCCUACGGGAGGCAGCAGUGAGGAAUAUUGGUCAAUGGACGCAAGUCUGAACCAGCCACGUCGCGUGAAGGAAGACGGCCCUACGGGUUGUAAACUUCUUUUAUACGGGAAUAAAGUGCCCCACGCGUGGGGUUUUGCAUGUACCGUAUGAAUAAGGAUCGGCUAACUCCGUGCUAGCACGCCGCGGUAAAUACG
RNAcentral lists this ribosomal RNA (512 nucleotides) under uncultured bacterium. RNAcentral describes it as "bacterial SSU rRNA". It matches the Rfam family "Bacterial small subunit ribosomal RNA", at positions 28 to 527 of the family's 1533-position model. The record is from RNAcentral.